AGGAAAAGGUGCUGUGCUUUGAUGUGCACA
Molecule: non-coding RNA, 30 nt
Filed under: Homo sapiens (human)
Lineage: Eukaryota; Metazoa; Chordata; Mammalia; Primates; Hominidae
Source: RNAcentral